This 293-nucleotide ribosomal RNA is filed under the name archaeon enrichment culture DGGE gel band B4. RNAcentral's name for it is "partial 16S ribosomal RNA". It matches the Rfam family "Archaeal small subunit ribosomal RNA", at positions 896 to 1189 of the family's 1478-position model. The record is from RNAcentral.
UGCGGUUUAUUGGAUUCAACGCCGGAAACUCACUGGGAGCGACAGCAAUAAUGACAGUCAGGCUAACGACCUUGCCAGACAAGCUGAGAGGAGGUGCAUGGCCGCCGUCAGUUCGUACCGUGAGGCGUACUCUUAAGUGAGUCAACGAACGAGACCCUCACCUGCAGUUGCCAGCUUGCCCUCCGGGGCGAUGGGGACUCUGCGGGGACCGCUGGUGCUAAACCAGAGGAAGGAGGGGGCAACGGUAGGUCAGUAUGCCCCGAAUCUCCCNGGCUACACGCGGCCUACAAUGA